CCUACGGGUGGCAGCAGUGGGGAAUAUUGGGCAAUGGGCGCAAGCCUGACCCAGCAACGCCGCGUGAAGGAAGAAGGCUUUCGGGUUGUAAACUUCUUUUGUCAGGGACGAAGCAAGUGACGGUACCUGACGAAUAAGCCACGGCUAACUACGUGCAAGCAGCCGCGGUAAUACGUAGGUGGCAAGCGUUCUCCGGAUUUACUGGGUGUAAAGGGCGUGUAGGCGGGACUGCAAGUCAGAUGUGAAAACCACGGGCUCAACCUGGGGCCUGCAUUUGAACACGGAGUUCUUGAGUACUGGAGAGGGGGGUGGAAUUCCUAGUGUAGCGGUGAAAUGCGUAGAGAUUAGGAGGAACACCAGUGGCGAAGGCGGUCUGCUGGACAGCAACUGACGCUGAGGCGCGAAAGCGUGGGGAGCAAACAGGAUUAGAUACCCGUGUAGUC
RNAcentral lists this ribosomal RNA (443 nucleotides) under uncultured bacterium. Its description in RNAcentral is "partial 16S ribosomal RNA". It matches the Rfam family "Bacterial small subunit ribosomal RNA", at positions 338 to 795 of the family's 1533-position model. The record is from RNAcentral.